GACGAACACUGGCGGCGUGCUUAACACAUGCAAGUCGAACGGAAAGGCCCUGCUUUUGUGGGGUGCUCGAGUGGCGAACGGGUGAGUAACACGUGAGUAACCUGCCCUUGACUUUGGGAUAACUUCAGGAAACUGGGGCUAAUACCGGAUAGGAGCUCCUGCUGCAUGGUGGGGGUUGGAAAGCUUCGGCGGUUGGGGAUGGACUCGCGGCUUAUCAGCUUGUUGGUGGGGUAGUGGCUUACCAAGGCUUUGACGGGUAGCCGGCCUGAGAGGGUGACCGGCCACAUUGGGACUGAGAUGCGGCCCAGACUCCUACGGGAGGCAGCAGUGGGGAAUAUUGCACAAUGGGCGGAAGCCUGAUGCAGCAACGCCGCGUGCGGGAUGACGGCCUUCGGGUUGUAAACCGCUUUCGCCUGUGACGAAGCGUGAGUGACGGUAAUGGGUAAAGAAGCACCGGCUAACUACGUG
RNAcentral lists this ribosomal RNA (468 nucleotides) under uncultured bacterium. Its description in RNAcentral is "partial 16S ribosomal RNA". It matches the Rfam family "Bacterial small subunit ribosomal RNA", at positions 28 to 507 of the family's 1533-position model. The record is from RNAcentral.